UUUUUUUUUUUUAGGUGAAGUCUCACUUUGUCACCCAUACUGGAGUGCAGUCUCAGCUCACUGCAACCUCCCCCUCCCAGAUUCAAGCAGUUAUCCUGCCUCAGCCUCCCAGGUAUCUGGGACUACAGGAGCAUGCCACCAUGCCCAGCUAAUUUUUGUAUUUUUAGUAGAGAUGGGGUUUCACCAUGUUGGCCAGGUUGGUCUUGAACUCCUGAUCUCAAGUGAUCUGCCUGCCUCAGCCUCCCAAAGUGCUGGGAUUACAGGCAUGAGCCACCACACCCAGCCGGAUGUACUCUCUUCUAUAUGGCUUUUCACUUAGCACAAUUAUUUAGAGACUCACUCACGUGUACCAGUAGUUCCUUUUUAUUGCCGAGUAUUGCACUGGACGGUGUGCCACAAUUUAUCCAUUCAUCUGUUGAUGGAUGUUUGAGUUGUUUCCAGUUUUUGGCUAUUACAAAUAAAGCUGCUAUGAAAAUUCAUGUAUAAGUUUUUGCAUGGACAUAUAUUUCCUUUUCUCUUGGGUAAAUACCUAGGAAUGGAAUGUGGGGAUCAUAAGGUAGAUGUAUUUUUAAUGUCUUAAGAAACUGUCAAACUGUUUUCCAAAGUGGUGGUGCAGUUUUACAUCCCCAUCAGCAGUGUUUGGGAGUUCUUGUUGCUUUACAUAUUCAACAGCACAUAGCAUGGUGAGUUUUUUAAACAUUAGCCAUUCUUCUGGGUGUGUAGCAAUAUCUCUCUGGCUUUAACUUGGGCAUUUCCCUAAUGACUAAUGAUGUUGAACAUGUUUUAAUGUGCAUGUUUGCCAUCUGUAUCUUCUCAAGUCUGUUCAAAUUUUUUCCCCAUGUCUUAUUAUUGAGCUUUGCAAAUUCUUUAUUUUUUGAGACAGAGUUUUGCUCUUGUUGCCCAGGCUGGAGUGCAAUGGCACGAUCUCGGCUCACCGCAACCUCCGCCUCCUGGGUUCAAGCGAUUCUCCUGCCUCAGCCUUCCUGAGUAGCUGGGGUUACAGAGCUCUCAAUCCAGCAGCUCAGAGUAAACCCUCCUGAUGUGAAACCAAAAGUUUCUCCAAGAGAACCUGUCCAGCCUGGAGCAAAGUUCUAGAAGUAUGGACACUGGGGAUUUCCCCAAAGAAGCUCAAUGAGAUCACCUUACAAUCACAUAUUCUUUUUAAUACUCCACUCUUAAAUAUAAGCAAGAUUACCAACGAUUGCCAGGCAGCUAAAGAAAGUCUGUAACAUGAAAGAUUAAAUUGAAGAACAGAAAGCAGAAAGACAUAUGCAGGGAGAUGAAAGCUUCUACAGAGCAUAUUAAUAUCCUCAAAGAUGUUGCAACAAGGAACAAGGUACUGUCCCUAUAUAUCUACGUAUAUAAAGGAACAAUCAGAGAAUCAA
Molecule: long non-coding RNA, 1385 nt
Organism: Homo sapiens (human)
Lineage: Eukaryota; Metazoa; Chordata; Mammalia; Primates; Hominidae
Exons: 2
Source: RefSeq, a predicted model, not a curated record